This 1220-nucleotide long non-coding RNA is filed under the name Nicotiana benthamiana. RNAcentral describes it as "long non-coding RNA (NBEN_LNC012080)". The record is from RNAcentral. Lineage: Eukaryota; Viridiplantae; Streptophyta; Magnoliopsida; Solanales; Solanaceae.
UAGCAGACAAACAUGUUUAAUAUACUUUGGCAGUAGUUUCAUAAGAUGGACUGCACAUCAAAUAGGUCUUCAUAAUUCAAUAUUUCCACCGAUUUUACAUAUUUUCUGCAGACCAUAUUAAUUGAUGUGGUAUCAUAAUUCCCCAACCUCCAAGAACAAAUUAAAAACUACUCGUAGAACCAGUAAAGGAUUGUAAGGUCAAAACAACACAGAUGGGCCUAAUUGUUUGAUCAAAUUUCAUGAUGAAGAGAGACAAGAAAGAUCGAUGAGAACAAAACACCAUACAUCAAUGAAGAUACUCAGCGAACCAAUUCGGGAAUCGAAGAAAACAGAUCCAAAUCACUACUUCCACAUAAACACAUGAAAUCAAAAAUAGUUAUGGCCAAUUAAAUAUAUAAAAGUUAAGAAUUAACCUGAAAUUCCUUUCAAUUAAUAAAAUUUCAGCGGUUAUACAGACUGAAUCGAAGAUACCGUUGCGACUGGAACUCGACACGAUGAUCCUCAAACCGGCAGCCUCGAACACUGGACUGUUUCCUGGAUCUGAGUUUAACCGGACAGACUCACAAAGAUAGGGAUGUGGACAUGACAACGAAUAGAAUUCAGGCCUUCGCCUUUGAGUAGAAGAACAAAAACAACUCCGUGCGUGUGUGUGUUUCCGACGAGUCCUGUGACAGGUUGGUAUUUGCUAUAUCAGUGAGCCAAUUCCGGAAUCGAAGAAAACAGAUCCAAAUCACUACUUCCACAUAAACACAUGAAAUCAAAAAUAGUUAUGGCCAAUUAAAUACAUGAAAGUUAAGAAUGAACCUGAAAUUCCUUUCAAUUAAUAAAAUUCCAGCGGUUACAAAGACUGAAUCGAAGAGAUCGUUGCAACCGGAACUCGACCUGAUGAUCCUUAUACCGACAGCCUCGAACACUAGAGUGUUUCCCAGAUCUGAGCUUAACCGGACAGCCUCAAAAAGAAGGGGAUGUGGACAUGACAACGAACAGAAUUCUGGCCUUCGCCUUUGAGUAGAAGAAUAAGGACAGCUCCAAGUGUGUGUGCGUGUUUCUUUUUAGAAGAUGCGCAUCCUUUUUAUUUUGUUCUCUCUCGUUGCAGAAUGUCUCCCUCCCCUCUUUCCCGUGCUCUCUCUGUUUUUUCUCCCUGUUAUUUCUGUUCCUCUUCUCCCGUUUCUAUCGUUUUUACUUAUGUCUUGUGCCUCCCGUUAUCCUCUAUCUCUCUC